This 448-nucleotide ribosomal RNA is filed under the name uncultured bacterium. Its description in RNAcentral is "SSU rRNA". It matches the Rfam family "Bacterial small subunit ribosomal RNA", at positions 26 to 518 of the family's 1533-position model. The record is from RNAcentral.
AGGAUGAACGCUGGCGGUCUGCUUAACACAUGCAAGUCGAACGGAGUACCUCGGUACUUAGUGGCGGACGGGUGAGUAACGCGUGAGAAUCUGCCCUUAGGUCGGGGACAACCAUUGGAAACGAUGGCUAAUACCGGAUAAGCCGAGAGGUAAAAGAUUAAUUGCCUAGGGAAGAGCUCGCGUCUGAUUAGCUAGUUGGUGAGGUAAAGGCUCACCAAGGCAUCGAUCAGUAGCUGGUCUGAGAGGAUGAUCAGCCACACUGGGACUGAGACACGGCCCAGACUCCUACGGGAGGCAGCAGUGGGGAAUUUUCCGCAAUGGGCGAAAGCCUGACGGAGCAAGACCGCGUGAGGGAGGAAGGCUCUUGGGUUGUAAACCUCUUUUCUUGGGGAAGAACAAAUGACGGUACCAAGGAAUCAGCAUCGGCUAACUCCGUGCCAGCAGCCGC